RNAcentral lists this ribosomal RNA (372 nucleotides) under uncultured bacterium. Its description in RNAcentral is "bacterial SSU rRNA". It matches the Rfam family "Bacterial small subunit ribosomal RNA", at positions 790 to 1167 of the family's 1533-position model. The record is from RNAcentral.
GUAGUCCACGCCCUAAACGAUGUCUACUAGUUGUCGGGUCUUAAUUGACUUGGUAACGCAGCUAACGCGUGAAGUAGACCGCCUGGGGAGUACGGUCGCAAGAUUAAAACUCAAAGGAAUUGACGGGGACCCGCACAAGCGGUGGAUGAUGUGGAUUAAUUCGAUGCAACGCGAAAAACCUUACCUACCCUUGACAUGUACGGAAUUCUGCUGAGAGGUGGAAGUGCUUGAAAGAGAACCGUAACACAGGUGCUGCAUGGCUGUCGUCAGCUCGUGUCGUGAGAUGUUGGGUUAAGUCCCGCAACGAGCGCAACCCUUGUCAUUAGUUGCUACGAAAGGGCACUCUAAUGAGACUGCCGGUGACAAACCGGA